GACGAACGCUGGCGGCGCGCUUAACACAUGCAAGUCGAACGGAAAGGCCUGCUUUCCCUUGUGGAUUGCGGGUACUCGAGUGGCGAACGGGUGAGUAACACGUGAGUGAUCUGCCCCCAACUUGGGUAUAAGCCUGGGAAACUGGGUCUAAUUCCCGAUAGGACUGCAGGGUGGUGCCUGUGGUGGAAAACGAUUUUCUAGUGGUUGGGGAUGAGCUCGCGGCCUAUCAGCUUGUUGGUGGGGUAAUGGCCUACCAAGGCGGCGACGGGUAGCCGGCCUGAGAGGGUGGACGGCCACAUUGGGACUGGGAUACGACCCAGACUCCUACGGGAGGCAGCAGUGGGGAAUAUUGCACAAUGGGCGGAAGCCUGAUGCAGCGACGCCGCGUGGGGGAUGACGGCCUUCGGGUUGUCAACUCCUUUCGACCGCGAGGAAGCCACCUGGUUGGAAGGGUGGUGACGGUAGUGGUAGAAGAAGCACCGGCUAACUACGUG
Molecule: ribosomal RNA, 494 nt
Filed under: uncultured bacterium
Lineage: Bacteria
Description: partial 16S ribosomal RNA
Rfam family: Bacterial small subunit ribosomal RNA
Source: RNAcentral